AUUGAACGCUGGCGGCAGGCCUAACACAUGCAAGUCGAACGGUAACAGGAAGCAGCUUGCUGCUUCGCUGACGAGUGGCGGACGGGUGAGUAAUGUCUGGGAAACUGCCUGAUGGAGGGGGAUAACUACUGGAAACGGUAGCUAAUACCGCACAACGUCGCAAGACCAAAGAGGGGGACCUUAGGGCCUCUUGCCAUCGGAUGUGCCCAGAUGGGAUUAGCUAGUAGGUGGGGUAACGGCUCACCUAGGCGACGAUCCCUAGCUGGUCUGAGAGGAUGACCAGCCACACUGGAACUGAGACACGGUCCAGACUCCUACGGGAGGCAGCAGUGGGGAAUAUUGCACAAUGGGCGCAAGCCUGAUGCAGCCAUGCCGCGUGUAUGAAGAAGGCCUUCGGGUUGUAAAGUACUUUCAGCGGGGAGGAAGGGAGUAAAGUUAAUACCUUUGCUCAUUGACGUUACCCGCAGAAGAAGCACCGGCUAACUCCGUG
This 490-nucleotide ribosomal RNA is filed under the name uncultured bacterium. RNAcentral's name for it is "partial 16S ribosomal RNA". It matches the Rfam family "Bacterial small subunit ribosomal RNA", at positions 30 to 507 of the family's 1533-position model. The record is from RNAcentral.